GACGAACGCUGGCGGCGUGCCUAACACAUGCAAGUCGAGCGAAUGAAGUUCCUUCGGGAAUGGAUUUAGCGGCGGACGGGUGAGUAACACGUGGGCAACCUGCCUCAUAGAGGGGAAUAGCCUCCCGAAAGGGAGAUUAAUACCGCAUAAGAUUGUAGUACCGCAUGAUACAGCAAUUAAAGGAGCAAUCUGCUAUGGGAUGGGCCCGCGGCGCAUUAGCUAGUUGGUGAGGUAAUGGCUCACCAAGGCGACGAUGCGUAGCCGACCUGAGAGGGUGAUCGGCCACAUUGGGACUGAGACACGGCCCAGACUCCUACGGGAGGCAGCAGUGGGGAAUAUUGCACAAUGGGGGAAACCCUGAUGCAGCAACGCCGCGUGAGUGAUGACGGCCUUCGGGUUGUAAAGCUCUGUCUUCAGGGACGAUAAUGACGGUACCUGAGGAGGAAGCCACGGCUAACUACGUG
RNAcentral lists this ribosomal RNA (464 nucleotides) under uncultured bacterium. RNAcentral's name for it is "partial 16S ribosomal RNA". It matches the Rfam family "Bacterial small subunit ribosomal RNA", at positions 28 to 507 of the family's 1533-position model. The record is from RNAcentral.